This 459-nucleotide ribosomal RNA is filed under the name uncultured bacterium. RNAcentral describes it as "partial 16S ribosomal RNA". It matches the Rfam family "Bacterial small subunit ribosomal RNA", at positions 338 to 795 of the family's 1533-position model. The record is from RNAcentral.
CCUACGGGAGGCAGCAGUGAGGAAUAUUGGUCAAUGGGAGAGAUCCUGAACCAGCCAAGCCGCGUGAGGGAAGACGGCCCUAUGGGUUGUAAACCUCUUUUGUCGGAGAACAAAACCCGGUACGUGUCCCGGACUGCGUGUAUCCGAUGAAAAAGGAUCGGCUAACUCCGUGCCAGCAGCCGCGGGAAUACGGGGGAUGCGAGCGUUAUCCGGAUUUAUUGGGUUUAAAGGGUGCAUAGUCGGUCCGUUAAGUCAGUGGUAAAAUUGCGGGGUUCAACCGCGUCGAGCGGUUGAUACUGGCAGACUUGAGUUGGGGAGAAGUACGCGGAAUGCGCGGUGUAGCGGUGAAAUGCAUAGAUAUCGCGCAGAACUCCGAUUGCGAAGGCAGCGUACCGGCGUCAGACUGACGCUGAGGCACGAAAGCGUGGGGAUCGAACAGGAUUAGAUACCCGGGUAGUC